Long non-coding RNA from Symphalangus syndactylus (siamang), 964 nucleotides. RefSeq lists it as uncharacterized. Lineage: Eukaryota; Metazoa; Chordata; Mammalia; Primates; Hylobatidae. The record is from RefSeq and is a predicted model, not a curated record.
ACACCGUCUCCGGGCUCCAACUUGCCCUUCUGUAAAAUGGGGAGUUUGGACCAAGUCAUUCUGAAGGUCUUUUCCAGCUUUAAUGACACGUGUUUUGCAUGUGACCUGGCAGCACAGGGUUCAGAGGAGGGAGAGAUCAGAGUGACUAGUGCGGGCUUCCUGGGGAAUCAUUUGAGCUUUGAAGGUGGGGAGGAGGAAUGUCAGAGAGUGGGCAAAAUACAACAGGAAAGGGAAAUUCACCCUCUAGGGCCAGGGGGCACGGGGGCAGCCUGCUCUCCUCCUGGGGCCCUGUUCCCUGUGGGGACUCGAAGAGAGGCUUUGAGUCCAGGGCCUGGGGCAGCAAGGAUUGACGGGGGUGCAGUCCUAGAAGGGUCGGCAGUCACGGUGGCCCACCAUGGCAUCUCCGUAUCCUUGCUGCGUGCUGCACCCACUCCAGCUGCCAGAGCACGGAGGCAGAGACGUGGGAGCCGAUGGAGGUCGCACGCCAGCCUCCCACCUGUGAGACAAAGGGCCCUGUCACUGGAAGCCAUGUCCAGCCUGGCCCCACAGGAGCCAGGGCUCUGCACCUAACGAGGACUGAUGGGAAAGGGAAGGCUGGCAGCAGUGAGGGGCCAUCAUCUGAGUCAUGUUCCUGUAUUUGGGAUUCGCCCCUCCAAAACAGUUGUGAUGGGAGACACCGGCCACCUACUAUUAUGCGGCCACGCACCACAUAACAACAUUUCAGGCAACAAUGACCGCACAUACCACAGUGGUCCCAUAAAAUUACAAUGGAGCUGAAAAGUUCCUAUUGCCUAGUGACGUCACAGCCAUUGUAAGGUCGGAGUGCAACACAUCACUCAUGUGUUUGUGUUGAUGCUGCUGUAAACAAACCUACUGCACUGCCAGUCAUAUAAAAAAGUAUAGCCCAUACAAUUAUGUGUGGUACUUAAUAUUUAAUAAUAAUAAACAACUAUGUUGCUGGUUU